GAACGCUAGCGGCAGGCCUAACACAUGCAAGUCGAACGGUAACAGGAAUUAGCUUGCUAAUUUGCUGACGAGUGGCGCACGGGUGCGUAACGCGUAUACAAUCUGCCUUUAAGCGGGGAAUAGCCCAUGGAAACGUGGAUUAAUACCCCAUAGUAUAUAGGAGUCACCUGGCUUUUAUAUUAAACAUUUAUGGCUUAAAGAUGAGUAUGCGUCCUAUUAGUUAGUUGGUAAGGUAACGGCUUACCAAGACCGCGAUAGGUAGGGGUCCUGAGAGGGAGAUCCCCCACACUGGUACUGAGACACGGACCAGACUCCUACGGGAGGCAGCAGUGAGGAAUAUUGGACAAUGGAGGCAACUCUGAUCCAGCCAUGCCGCGUGCAGGAAGACGGCCCUAUGGGUUGUAAACUGCUUUUAUACGGGAAGAACCACAUCUACGUGUAGAUGCUUGACGGUACCGUAUGAAUAAGGACCGGCUAACUCCGUGCCAGCAGCGGGGGAAAUA
This 503-nucleotide ribosomal RNA is filed under the name Christiangramia sp. RNAcentral describes it as "bacterial SSU rRNA". It matches the Rfam family "Bacterial small subunit ribosomal RNA", at positions 31 to 525 of the family's 1533-position model. The record is from RNAcentral. Lineage: Bacteria; Pseudomonadati; Bacteroidota; Flavobacteriia; Flavobacteriales; Flavobacteriaceae.